RNAcentral lists this ribosomal RNA (428 nucleotides) under uncultured cyanobacterium. RNAcentral describes it as "bacterial SSU rRNA". It matches the Rfam family "Bacterial small subunit ribosomal RNA", at positions 357 to 804 of the family's 1533-position model. The record is from RNAcentral. Lineage: Bacteria; Bacillati; Cyanobacteriota.
GGGAAUUUUCCGCAAUGGGCGAAAGCCUGACGGAGCAAUACCGCGUGAGGGAAGAAGGUCUGUGGAUUGUAAACCUCUUUUGUUAGGGAAGAUAAUGACGGUACCUAACGAAUAAGCAUCGGCUAACUCCGUGCCAGCAGCCGCGGUAAGACGGAGGAUGCAAGCGUUAUCCGGAAUUAUUGGGCGUAAAGCGUACGUAGGCGGUUUUAUAAGUCUGUUGUCAAAGCCCGAGGCUUAACCUUGGAAAGGCAAUGGAAACUGUAAGACUAGAGAGAGAUAGGGGCAGGAGGAAUUCCAGGUGUAGCGGUGAAAUGCGUAGAUAUCUGGAAGAACACCAGUGGCGAAGGCGCUCUGCUGGGCCAUAACUGACGCUCAUGGACGAAAGCCAGGGGAGCGAAAGGGAUUAGAUACCCCUGUAGUCAAUCGAA